CUCCCACAAAGGUCAUCAGAAAGGGAAUGGUGCAAAGUGUGGGAACAUUGGAAGAGGAAGAACCGGCUGUGUGUCCUUAGGCAAAUUGCUUACCCUCUCUGAGCCCCCAUUGCCUGAUCUGUCAAAUGGGUCUGGAAAUCCCCACUUCCUCUGCUAUCGUGAAGUUCUGAGGGUACCCCUCACUCAAGCUCCAGGCGUCAGGAAAAGAACAUUCCACGAAGUCCAUCUGGAAGACGGUCCUUGUCCUUGUGCCCCCAGGUCUAGUUGCCAGGAGUGGCAGACACGGAAAGAAUCGGUGUCCCUGUUGACACACUUGAACUUCUCAGUGUACCCUGUCUGCACCCCAACCACUCCUGGGCUUCCAGCAAUGUGAGAUCAUUGACAGCCUUUUUGUGGAAGCUGAAUACGUCCUAGUAGAGGCUCCAGACAUGAGAACCAGGGGCUUUUGUCUUCAGCAGUGCAGACUGGGAAACUGAUGCUCAGAGACUAUUACGUCGUUGGAGACA
Molecule: long non-coding RNA, 506 nt
Organism: Symphalangus syndactylus (siamang)
Lineage: Eukaryota; Metazoa; Chordata; Mammalia; Primates; Hylobatidae
Source: RefSeq, a predicted model, not a curated record